This 72-nucleotide transfer RNA is filed under the name Camelus dromedarius (Arabian camel). It matches the Rfam family "tRNA". Rfam says of the family: Transfer RNA (tRNA) molecules are approximately 80 nucleotides in length. Their secondary structure includes four short double-helical elements and three loops (D, anti-codon, and T loops). Lineage: Eukaryota; Metazoa; Chordata; Mammalia; Artiodactyla; Camelidae. The record is from Rfam by way of RNAcentral. RNAcentral also lists the same sequence under 1 other name.
GCAGCUAUAGCUCAGUGGUAAAGCGUGUGCUUAGCAUGCACAAAGUCCUGGGUUCAAUCCCCUGUACCUCCA